RNAcentral lists this ribosomal RNA (244 nucleotides) under uncultured bacterium. Its description in RNAcentral is "partial 16S ribosomal RNA". It matches the Rfam family "Bacterial small subunit ribosomal RNA", at positions 534 to 776 of the family's 1533-position model. The record is from RNAcentral.
GCGAGCGUUAAUCGGAAUUACUGGGCGUAAAGCGUGCGCAGGCGGUCUGUUAAGACCGAUGUGAAAUCCCCGGGCUUAACCUGGGAACUGCAUUGGUGACUGGCAGGCUUUGAGUGUGGCAGAGGGAGGUAGAAUUCCACGUGUAGCAGUGAAAUGCGUAGAGAUGUGGAGGAAUACCGAUGGCGAAGGCAGCCUCCUGGGCCAACACUGACGCUCAUGCACGAAAGCGUGGGGAGCAAACAGG